RNAcentral lists this ribosomal RNA (424 nucleotides) under uncultured bacterium. RNAcentral describes it as "bacterial SSU rRNA". It matches the Rfam family "Bacterial small subunit ribosomal RNA", at positions 42 to 469 of the family's 1533-position model. The record is from RNAcentral.
UCAGGCCUAACACAUGCAAGUCGAACGGUAACGCGGGGGCAACCCUGGCGACGAGUGGCGAACGGGUGAGUAAUACAUCGGAACAUAUCCAGUAGCGGGGGAUAACCUAUCGAAAGAUUGGCUAAUACCGCAUACGAUCUACGGAUGAAAGCGGGGGACCGCAAGGCCUCGCACUAUUGGAGUGGCCGAUGUCAGAUUAGCUAGUUGGUGGGGUAAAAGCCUACCAAGGCGACGAUCUGUAGCUGGUCUGAGAGGACGAUCAGCCACACUGGAACUGAGACACGGUCCAGACUCCUACGGGAGGCAGCAGUGGGGAAUUUUGGACAAUGGGCGCAAGCCUGAUCCAAAAGUGCCGCGUGAGUGAAGAAGGCCUUCGGGUUGUAAAUCAAGAGGGUGAAGACGAAACGGUUAGGAUUAAUAACGC